CGAGGUAAGGAGCUGAUCAGGGCAUUCAUCUGUCGGAUUAGUCUAACUCGGUCAAUGCAUGGAUUAAUGUUCUCAGUAUGAGUUCUUUCUUUCUUCAUUGGGUGAGUUGGGAUUAGAAGAAAGUCUCCGUAGGUCCGCUACUCCCCCCUUCGUUCAAUCUUAACUAUGCCAUGCCAAGGGUCAUCGAAGAACCAACCUUUCUGCCUUUCCCCCACAUCUCGAAGGGUGGCCAUUAAGUUUUUUGAACAACGUUCCAGGUUCAGACAAAUCCUCUCGAUGAGCGGACGAUAACUCCUCUGAUAGAGCUCGAAUGAACCAUCCCCUCAUGCGGAUCUCACUGGAAGGUUUAAGAACAUCCUGUUAAUGAGUUCAUCCCAACUGUAUGGGACUGAAAAGCCCAUGUUAUUCUGCUGGGGAGCUUGACGAACAUACUGAGAGGCUCGGUGCCCUUUUAUUGAUGAGUUUAUCCCAACGCGCUGGACUGGAGUCCAGAUUUUUUUUUGAGGGUGCGACAGCUUUUGCUGACACGCCUACCCGACCGUAGGGUUUCAAUAUUUAUCAUCUGUGCUUUCUUGUUUUUCUUUGCUGUGAUUGAUUCUCAAAACUGCUUCUAAGGCG
This 618-nucleotide unclassified non-coding RNA is filed under the name Hevea brasiliensis (rubber tree). The record is from RNAcentral. Lineage: Eukaryota; Viridiplantae; Streptophyta; Magnoliopsida; Malpighiales; Euphorbiaceae.